AGUCGAGCGGACAGAUGGGAGCUUGCUCCCUGAUGUUAGCGGCGGACGGGUGAGUAACACGUGGGUAACCUGCCUGUAAGACUGGGAUAACUCCGGGAAACCGGGGCUAAUACCGGAUGCUUGUUUGAACCGCAGGGUUCAAACAUAAAAGGUGGCUUCGGCUACCACUUACAGAUGGACCCGCGGCGCAUUAGCUAGUUGGUGAGGUAACGGCUCACCAAGGCAACGAUGCGUAGCCGACCUGAGAGGGUGAUCGGCCACACUGGGACUGAGACACGGCCCAGACUCCUACGGGAGGCAGCAGUAGGGAAUCUUCCGCAAUGGACGAAAGUCUGACGGAGCAACGCCGCGUGAGUGAUGAAGGUUUUCGGAUCGUAAAGCUCUGUUGUUAGGGAAGAACAAGUACCGUUCGAAUAGGGCGGUACCUUGACGGUACCUAACCAGAAAGCCACGGCUAACUACGUGCCAGCAGCCGCGGUAAUACGUAGGUGGCAAGCGUUGUCCGGAAUUAUUGGGCGUAAAGGGCUCGCAGGCGGUUCCUUAAGUCUGAUGUGAAAGCCCCCGGCUCAACCGGGGAGGGUCAUUGGAAACUGGGGAACUUGAGUGCAGAAGAGGAGAGUGGAAUUCCACGUGUAGCGGUGAAAUGCGUAGAGAUGUGGAGGAACACCAGUGGCGAAGGCGACUCUCUGGUCUGUAACUGACGCUGAGGAGCGAAAGCGUGGGGAGCGAACAGGAUUAGAUACCCUGGUAGUCCACGCCGUAAAC
RNAcentral lists this ribosomal RNA (765 nucleotides) under Bacillus sp. (in: firmicutes). RNAcentral's name for it is "bacterial SSU rRNA". It matches the Rfam family "Bacterial small subunit ribosomal RNA", at positions 60 to 807 of the family's 1533-position model. The record is from RNAcentral. Lineage: Bacteria; Bacillati; Bacillota; Bacilli; Caryophanales; Bacillaceae.